GACGAACGCUGGCGGCGUGCUUAACACAUGCAAGUCGAACGGAAAGGCCCAGCUUGCUGGGUACUCGAGUGGCGAACGGGUGAGUAACACGUGGGUGAUCUGCCCUGGACUCUGGGAUAAGCCUGGGAAACUGGGUCUAAUACCGGAUAUGACCUUACAUCGCAUGGUGUUUGGUGGAAAGCUUUUGCGGUUCAGGAUGGGCCCGCGGCCUAUCAGCUUGUUGGUGGGGUAAUGGCCUACCAAGGCGACGACGGGUAGCCGACCUGAGAGGGUGAUCGGCCACACUGGGACUGAGACACGGCCCAGACUCCUACGGGAGGCAGCAGUGGGGAAUAUUGCACAAUGGGCGCAAGCCUGAUGCAGCGACGCCGCGUGAGGGAUGACGGCCUUCGGGUUGUAAACCUCUUUCACCAGGGACGAAGCGUGAGUGACGGUACCCGGAGAAGAAGCACCGGCCAACUACGUG
RNAcentral lists this ribosomal RNA (466 nucleotides) under uncultured bacterium. Its description in RNAcentral is "partial 16S ribosomal RNA". It matches the Rfam family "Bacterial small subunit ribosomal RNA", at positions 28 to 507 of the family's 1533-position model. The record is from RNAcentral.